AUGAACGCUGGCGGCGUGCCUAAUACAUGCAAGUCGAGCGAACAGACGAGGAGCUUGCUCCUCUGACGUUAGCGGCGGACGGGUGAGUAACACGUGGAUAACCUACCUAUAAGACUGGGAUAACUUCGGGAAACCGGAGCUAAUACCGGAUAAUAUAUUGAACCGCAUGGUUCAAUAGUGAAAGACGGUUUUGCUGUCACUUAUAGAUGGAUCCGCGCCGCAUUAGCUAGUUGGUAAGGUAACGGCUUACCAAGGCGACGAUGCGUAGCCGACCUGAGAGGGGGGACGGACAAACCUGAAAUGAGAAACGGUCCAGACUCCUACGGGAGGCAGCAGUAGGGAAUCUUCCGCAAUGGGCGAAAGCCUGACGGAGCAACGCCGCGUGAGUGAUGAAGGUCUUCGGAUCGUAAAACUCUGUUAUUAGGGAAGAACAAAUGUGUAAGUAACUAUGCACGUCUUGACGGUACCUAAUCAGAAAGCCACGGCUAACUACGUG
This 496-nucleotide ribosomal RNA is filed under the name uncultured bacterium. RNAcentral describes it as "partial 16S ribosomal RNA". It matches the Rfam family "Bacterial small subunit ribosomal RNA", at positions 29 to 507 of the family's 1533-position model. The record is from RNAcentral.